CUUGAAACAAUAUGAAGUGAAAUUGUAUGAUUUGGAAAAUGUGCCCCAGUGACAAGUUGGCAAACACUUAAAAAGGAUUGUAGUUUAAAGGGAAGUAUAUUACAGAAGUAUAGUUCCCCAAGGGAAGUCAAGGUCUUUUAACUCAUUAAAGAGGUUAUAUUUUCUUAAUUUUGGGCAUUUUUGUGGCUAGAAACUU
Molecule: long non-coding RNA, 196 nt
Organism: Strongylocentrotus purpuratus (purple sea urchin)
Lineage: Eukaryota; Metazoa; Echinodermata; Echinoidea; Camarodonta; Strongylocentrotidae
Exons: 2
Source: RefSeq, a predicted model, not a curated record